Long non-coding RNA from Thalassophryne amazonica, 888 nucleotides. RefSeq lists it as uncharacterized. NCBI's taxonomy places the organism in Eukaryota, Metazoa, Chordata, Actinopteri, Batrachoidiformes, Batrachoididae. The record is from RefSeq and is a predicted model, not a curated record. The transcript has 3 exons.
UACCUCUUUCUCUCUUUCUCUUCUCUUUUGGACAAUUAGAUUGGCUUUGUGACACAAACAUCCCAGAGGCUAAUAAUUAAAAAUAUUACCAUCACAAAAUUUUGUUGUUGUUGUUGUUGUUUUUCGCAUAGUUAGCACAGCCAACAGACUAAUCCGUACUCAGCCAGCGGGCUAGACCGUACUCGGCCAACGGGCUAGACCGUACUCGGCCAACGGGCUAGACCGUACUCGGCCAACGGGCUAGACCGUACUCGGCCAACGGGCUAGACCGUACUCAGCCAGUUAGGGUGGUCCAGGGGUGGUCCCAGCGAAAUUGUAAGUGUCAAUAUACUUAUUUUAGUAUUUAAAUGCUGACUCUCUCCUCUGUGUUCUUAACACACAAUUUUUAUUUUAAACACUGGAAAUCUUCUAAUUCUGUGUGUUGCAUCGUUCAUCACUCAGCCUGUCUGAUAUGUUCAAACCCUUUUGGUCAGCAGCUCGCUGGGUGGGGUGGGGGCACGGCUGUGUAGAAUUUGAGUUUUGAUGUAGUCCUGUGUAUAUCAGCAUGGCUCCAGUGCUGUAAUUAUGGAUAUUGGUAAAUGAUUGGUUUGUGAUCAGCGCGCAGCCUCGUGAUCAGAGUACGUCCGCUUGGACCCGAUUCCUUCCCUCCUGUUGUUAGCAGGCAGCCAGGCCCGUAGUUGGAUAAACAGCAGGUCUUCCUGUUGCAGGAGCCUUUUGGAAUGUGUGGAACAAGCCCUGCAGCUCAGGAGCUUAACCAUUCGGCGGGCGCCAUCUAGUGAUGGAGGUCAAAUUGGCAGGAAGAGCGGUUUGUUCAGCCCCUCGACGGUGUCCCUGCCCACCUUCAGCUCUCUGUGUCCCAACGCAGAAGAGCAGGAGCUGACACUGAGA